CCGGCGCACGGGUGAGUAACACGUAUCCAACCUGCCGUCUACUCUUGGCCAACCUUCUGAAAGGAAGAUUAAUCCAGGAUGGCAUCAUGAGUUCACAUGUCCGCAUGAUUAAAGGUAUUUUCCGGUAGACGAUGGGGAUGCGUUCCAUUAGAUAGUAGGCGGGGUAACGGCCCACCUAGUCAACGAUGGAUAGGGGUUCUGAGAGGAAGGUCCCCCACAUUGGAACUGAGACACGGUCCAA
Molecule: ribosomal RNA, 241 nt
Filed under: uncultured bacterium
Lineage: Bacteria
Description: partial 16S ribosomal RNA
Rfam family: Bacterial small subunit ribosomal RNA
Source: RNAcentral